UUCUAACCCACCCACCACAAGUAAGGACGUCCCAAUUUCAUUUCAUUCUAAUGUUAUUCCUCCCAAUGUCCCUUUUCCUAGCAGGUUUUUGAUUCCCAAGCAAGAAGAGAGUGAAAAAGACAUUGUGGAAGCUCUUCCAAAGGUGCAACAGGAUAUUCCAAUUCUUGGUGCAACAAAGCAAGUUCUAGAUCGUGUUGAAUAUUUCAAAGGCCUUUGUUUCCCAAGAAGAAUGAUUCAAGAGAAAGUAGUGGCUAAAGAAUGUCAAGACUUCAUCAAAGAGGACAAAUUUGAAACAACAAAGCCCAAAGAAGUUGAAUUUGAUGACAUUGGACAAGUCACAACCAUCAUAGUAAAUCUGGCCAAGUCCAAUAUCCCUGAAACUUUCAAAGGAGUGGUGUUUGUCAUUGAGUUCUUGUCGGACAAAGCAAGUAAGUUAUCUUCUCCAAUUUCCAUUACAUUUUAUACUAACUUGCUGAUUUUGAUGAAUCAGGUACCUACACUAGAAUCUAAACCAAUGCCGGUUCAUUUCAAGUAUCAUCGUCCAUUCAAAGAUCAAAUCCAUGUCGUGGGACCUAGGGGAGCUUAAAGAGAAGCAUUCAAAUAAGGAAGAUUGAGGACAAUGCCGUGGGACCUAGGAAUUGCUCUAACAACCAGAUUUGAGUUUCUAAAACCCUUCACUUUGUUGCUUGUUUCUAAUCUGCCAGUUUUGUUUUUAACUUGCUGUUUGUGUGUUUCUUUGUGUUUUGUGUGAGUUUAUGCUUGAAACAUUGAGGACAAUGUUUGAUUUAAGUGUGAGGGGGGUAAAUAAGUGUUUUUGAUGCAAAUUCGUGGGAUUUUAUCACCCUUUACUUAUAGACUUGUUCCUUGUUGUUUUUCAGUGUUUUUGGGCAGUUUUUGUGUGUUUUGAAGUAAAAAUCCGAAAAUCACAUAAACAUUUGAAAAAUUUGUUUUAAACACCCAAAAAGAGUUGUUUUUGUGUGUUUGUUUUUUGUCUUAGGGUACCUUCCAACACAACGAUGAGGAUUCGGUUUGUAAUUACAUGGCUGUUAAAGAGAGUGAUUAACAUGGAUGAAAGUUUGAUUUACUCUUUGUUUAUGCUUAGUUGUGGUUAUAACUUAUGAAUUCACAUGCAAUCAUAAAGGAAAAAUCAGUUUUUGUAACAUGCUUGAAGGAAGGAACUCAAACUAACGCUACAACCUUGUGAGACUUGAGCCUAAACGUUUAUUUGGAGAGUUAAAUUCUGUGCAUUCUUUGUUUUCUAAGUCUUUGCAUGAUCUCAUUAUUCCUUGCUUGGUUACUAUUUAGAAGGCGUUUCAUCAUUUAGUUCCAAAUGCUAGAACUCAUGCCCAUUUCAUUCAAAGCAUGUUAUUGAUUUGCAUAACACAUAUUCAAGAUGAAGUUGUGUAGUGACCACCACCUUAGCCAAAUGCCGUGUGCCCUAUGUCAUUAUGUUUUGUAGGUUUUUAACCCCGUUGAGCCUUGUUAACCUUCAUUCUUUGUUAACCCACAUUACCCUCACCUAGCCUAGAUUAGGACUAUCCAUACCCUUGUUCUUGAAGCAUAGUAAAGCAUGAUUCAAAUUGAAUUCCUUUUGAUUUAUGUUGGCAGAAAAUAAGUGUGGGGGAAGUGUUUUUCAUGAGGAAUUGUGUGCCAUAGGCACGGCAAAGAAAAGAAAAGAAAAAAAAAUUUCGUGGAAAAAGAAAAAUUGAAGAAAAAAAUAUGAAAAGUUUGAAAAAAAGAGUUGAAAAGUUGAGAAAAAGAGUUCCAAAGUAUUGUUUGUUGAAGUAAGGGUCCAAAACAAUGAAUUUGGCCCUAAGGAGUUGUUUAAGUCUUCCCCUUGUGUUUUAAAGUUAAUUUCUGCAAUCUAAGUGAAUUCUAAGUCUCAAUUUCAUUGCUUUGCUUACUAUUGCUUGAAGAACGUUUGUUUUCCCUAUCCUUUCCUUGUUAACCAACACCCCAAGCCCCAUUACAACCCUUAACUUCUAUCUUGAGUGUUAUGUGU
Molecule: long non-coding RNA, 2002 nt
Filed under: Malus domestica (apple)
Lineage: Eukaryota; Viridiplantae; Streptophyta; Magnoliopsida; Rosales; Rosaceae
Description: long non-coding RNA (MDOM_LNC018171)
Source: RNAcentral